CCACUGUAUUAAUGCUGCAAGGGACUUUUUAAUGUGUCAUUAUGACAGGUGGUGGAGGGAGCGAGCCGCAUUCCAGUGAGUGAGCCUGUCCCUGGCUAUAGUACUGGUGUUGGCCCUCUCACUGGUCAAAGCUGAAGGAGUUAAGGGGCAGAGGGAUUAGGAGAGAGACCCGGCUGGGGAAGAUGAACAGGUUUGUAAACACAACUGAAACCAGUUUAGGUUACAUUUUUUAAGUAAACAAAGGGAUUUUACUCUACUGAAACAUUACUGUUUACAACUUCAAAAAGAGGUACAAGUAAUUUUCACCUGUGAGCUGAUAUAUAUGUAUUAAUUACUGUAUUUUUUGCCCUAUAGGACACACUUUUUCCCCUCCUAAAAUGAAGGGGAAAUCUGUGUGCGUCAUAUGGGGCGAAUACAGGCUUUCGCUGAAGCUUGGUGCGCACCGACCCCUCUCGCUCUCCAGGCUUCAGGAAGCUAUCAGCAAGCCUGGGGAGCCUUCGGGAGUUCCCGCAGGGCUCCCUAGGCUGUGGAUAGCAGCCUGCUGCCCGGCGCGCGGGCGCCCUGAAGCAGAGCGCCCCGCGCGCUGGGCAGACAUCGGCCAGCCCCACAAGCUCGGGUGACAGCGGGGAGGCGAAGCACCGUCAUCCCACUGUUCCUCAACCUGGUUUGGAGGCUGGCGCUGGGGAGAAGCACGCUUCUCUCCAGUGCCAACCCCACAAGCUCGGGGACAGCGGGGAGGUAGAGCGCCGCCAUACCGCUGUUCCCCGACCUGGUUUGGUUUCCCCAACCUGGUUUUGGGGGGGAAAUAAAGGGGGGGAAAUUUCCUUUAUUUCCCCCCCAAAAAACUAGGUGUGUCCUAUGGGAUCAAACGUCCUAUGGGACGAAAAAUACGGUAGGUAUCUGUCUAAAAAGUGUUAGGAGAGGCAAUAAUCUUGAAAUCAAACGGAAACAGAAAGAAACUAGAAGACCAAAGAAGAAUUAAUCCUAAUCAAAGAGGUACAGUCAAUUGUGGACAAAAGAUGGACUUCGAGAAAGUCCCCAAAAGAGAGCUUAGCUAAGCAAAAUCUAAACAGAAAACUCAGAAAAAUACCAAGAUGAAGAUUUUAAGGAUAAUCACCAAAACAAAAAACACCACAUGACAACUGGAGAAGCCAAGAGAAAAUGAAGGAAUAUGAGGGGGAUAAAUCAAGUUUUGCUUACUUUUCAAACAAACCAAUCUUUGGAUGUAAAAAGGAGCACAUGAAAGCACAUAGAUGGCUUUGAAGUUUGCUUCAAGCACAGUGAAAAGUCUGGUCUCGGCUAAGAUAGCCAGCUCAGGGGUCCAUUUUUUCCUACACUUUGCUGACCCUUUAGCUUGACCGUUUAUCUCGUUCUAUGUCUGAGUUUUGGCCUGAGAUGGAGAGAAUCAAAGGGAGACGAUCACUCUCGGUUCUGUUAUCAAUACUAAAGUUUUUGAUUGAUUUAAAGGUCUUCCUGUUUGUGAGACAAUAGUCUACUGUGCUGGCUCCAUUAAUAUUUAUAAAUGUAAACUCUCCUUCGCUGCCCAAAGGAAACACCCCAUUUAUAAUCGUAAGGUAAAGACUUACCAUAUCUGUAAAGAGGCCAGGCAAAAGCCAGCGUAGUUGGUUAUGCAGUCUUUGGAGAAGCUGUGAGGGAGGGAGCGUAAGGAGGAAGGACUAUUUUCCUUGAGUUCCGUUAGCAUGUGGAAUUUAGCUUCCAGGCAGUCGUCGUUUGGGCCUUUUCGGCAGUUCAGGUCUCCCAUUAUAUAGAGUGGUGCAUCAGGGCACUAAUUUGGAGUAUAAUUUUUUUUGGAAAUUGCCCCAUGUACUCCCAAUCUGUACUUGCAGUUUGUAUGGCGGGAUAUAAGGUGAAACAAGAAUGAUACUUUGGGGCCCAGAGUGCAAGAUGAUCCCCAGCACCAAGUGCUUUGAAUCUUUAAAUUCAAUAAUCUGUGUUGUCAAGGAAGUGGAUACCAGUAUUACAAGGCCCUUCCUUGGACGUCCUUUCUCAUACAGUUUAGUGGCCUUAAUUUCAUGGGCAAAGUAACCCUCCAGGACUACAGUAUAUUGAAAGUUGUCCAGGUUUCUUGCAACAUUAUCACAUCGAAACGCGUUAUAUACUCUUGAAAUGACUCAUCCCCUACUUUGUUGGCACAACCUGCUAUGUUCCAUAAAACAAUAUUUAGGCUACUCUCGUCCCCGGCGAUUUGGCUUCAUUGUGGAGGGCAGAUUGUAGUUCUCCCUCUGUCUCAGUUAUAACACAACCAUUCUUGAGGUGUUUGAAGUGUUGUUCUUUCUGGGGUUGUUUGACAGACUUGUCCAGAUUGCCAGCCAUCAGCAGUAGUGUUCAAUUGUUUGUGGCUUUCGGGGGAUCGGAGUCUGGCAGUCUUGGUGUAAUGCUUUCCUCGGGUGGGGCAACGCCUGGCAAUGGAUGAUCUGUUUUCUGUGAAGAUGGUGAGUGGUGGAUUUCGAGAUCUACCAAAGUCCUGGUGGAAGAACUGAUUUUUGACACAGCUGAGUUGGGCAAGCAUUAUUUGUGUGCUUGGCCAUUAAACUCAGAAGGUUUUCUGUCCUGGGGGAUGUUUCGGCCAAAUUCUCCACCCAGAACCUGCCUUAGUGGCACUGGGGUUUGUGCCUUAAACCUUUGGCAAAUGCCUGCUGAUGAUGAGGGCUUGGAUUGAUUGGAGUCAGUCCGACUUCACAAAAGAUUCGGCAGUAUAGGCUUUAAUUCUGUGUCUUUAAAAACAUGCCUCAAGAUAAUUUUAUAAUCCUGUAGGCAGGUAUUGUAUAGUUUUGGAAUAACUGAAUCAGAGAAUGAUAAUAAAAGUCUAGAAUGCUGAGAGUCCGAUGAAAGCAGGUUUACCGUGGUAAGAUUGUUGCGCUGGAUGUUUAGCAACAGUUUGAAAUUUCACUUUGCACUUGCGAUUGAAUUCCAGAAAGGGAGCAGACCAUUAAAAGGGUAACCAUCGAGAACUACUUGAGAGCUUUGCAGGAUUAGUUUGCUGUUUUCAUGUUUGUUAUUCUUUCUGUAAGAGGUUUUACGGGUUCUGGCACAAGAACAGCUACACCCCUGAGUUUGAAGAUCUUGUUAAGAGCCAGACUCUUGGGUGGCAAUAGGACUGUUCCGGGUUGCCAACAGCGCCAACUCAGCCAGGAGGGACACUACCUUUUCUAAUUUGAGGUUAAUUUCCUCUACCAUUCUUGCUGUUAACAAACAGUGGUCCGCAAAUACAGUACUUCAGCUGUACUUUGGAGGUGGUACACCCUCAGCUGUUUUGUUUGUUGGUUGGUUUUAAAACUCAUUUUCUGUAAGACUGGUGGAAGGUGACUGGGGACAAACUAGUGAUUCUAGAUGUCUCUGUUCUGCCCCUCUAGAUUAAUGGCUCAUCCAGCUUCAAUUAAAAUGGCGGACAAAAUGGUAUUCCAUGACUGAAAGACAUUUAGGUGAGUAUCCCUUGGUUGGCCAGGGAGAAAAUCUCUGUUGUGUUCCGUCUGCAACUCAUUGUGCUAAGACUCUUUCAGGUUGCAGUGAGUGAGUUGUAAGAAGAGGCCCUAUUCUGUGUCACCACAAUGAGGCUCACCUGCAGGUAGGAGACCACUUCUUCUUUUGUUCUAGCCCUUCUCUCCUUUUGUUCCAGCUCGUCUUUCCUUCAGGUUUCUCAGAGUAUCCCUUGCAUGGCUAGGGAGAAAUCUCUAUUGUGUUCCAUCUGCAACUCAUUGUGCUAAGACUCUUUCAGGUUGGGGUGACGGAGUCGUCAGAAGAGGCCCUGUUCCAUGUCAUCACGAUGAGGCUCACCUUCAGGUAGGAGAAGACUUCUUUUCUUCCAGCUCUUCUUUCCUUCAGGCUUUGCAGAGUUCAGUGUACCUGAAUUGAGAGUCGCCUACUCUUGGACUGUGCUGCUUUAGGUAAGUUCACAUUGCACCACUCAGUGUUUUUUUCAAUACAUUUUUUUUUUUUUUUGUAUUGGUCUCUCCUUUUUCCCAUUUUCUUUUCUGCUGGUCUCUUCACAGGUCUCUCCAAAGAUCCUGCAACACUCAAAUGAAGACAGCUCUUCCAGCUGAGUCCCUGAAGUCAUGGUGGUAAGAAAAGCUGUUGGGUUGGUUUUUUUUUAAUCUCAUUUUCUGUUCCAUCUGCGACUCAUUGUGCUAAGGUUCUUUCAGGUUGGGGUGACUGAGUCAUCAGAAGAGGCCCUAUUCUGUGUCACUACAAUGAGGCUCACCUGCAGGUAGGAGAAGACUUCUUCUUUUGUUCCAGCUCCUCUUUUCUUCAGGCUUCCCAGAGUUCACUGUUCUUGAAGUGAGAGUCACCAGCAUUAGGACAGUGCUGCUUUAGGUAAGUUCACAUUGCACCACUCAGUCGUCUGUUUUCAAAACAAUGUCUUUGGUAUUGGUCUCUCCUUUUCCUCAUUUUCUUUUCUGCUGGUCUCUCCACAGGUCUCCCCAAAGAGCUCUUCUUAACGUCUUCAGGUUUUCUUUUUCCUGAGAGAACAUUCACAGAAUCUUCUCUCAGGUUUUGCUUUUCCCCUUGUUGCACUGCUCAAAAAAAAAAAGCAAAAGACACUGGUGGUCGGCACUCCUGGUUCCCAGGACGGGGUUCAAAUCCCUGCGGUGUCCAUGCUUACUUCCAAUGCAACUGCUAUCUCUCUCUAUCCCUAUCUCUCUAUGUCUCUCUAUCCCUCUCUAUCUCUCUAUGUCACUCUAUCCAUCUCUAUCUCUCUAUCCCUCUCUGUCUCUCUCUCCCUCUCUCUCCCACACUGCCCAAAUAAUGAUCCAGACAUGUAUCUAUGCUUCUUGCGCAUGCAGGCUUUUCACAGCAUCCACGCAGCAUUGCUGGAAUCAAAAUGCCAGCCACUAUCCUUCCCUCACCCCCAGCCAUAUAAUCCAGAUUUACAUUUUGGGUGGGAAAUCCAAAAAGUUACCGAAAACUGUGUCACCUGCCAAUGAUCAGUUUGCAAUAUUCAGCCCCCACCUGGAAGAACCCCGAGACUGAGAGGUAGCAGAAUCAGGUGCCUGCUUAGCGUCAACAUGCUCAUCAUUAACAAAGGGCAGUCUGCAUUGGCAUUAGGAUGUGGUUUAGGCAUGUGGCUGUGAGAAAGUGUUUGCUUAGGAAGUGGCAACAGAAAGGUGGGGCUGCAAAGGAUUUCAGAGAAGUAAGAUGAUCUUCUGUUAGCCGAGGAUUAGCCACAACUAUUCAGGCACUUAGUUCACUCCCUGUGCUAUUAUUUAGCUUAGGGGUUAUCCCCACUGUUUUUCCCCCCAGCGCUAAAACCCGCUUUUCAGCAAUAACGCAAAAAGCAUUUCUAAAUCAAUUACAUGCCACUGUGCUGCGUAACAUGCAUUUGUAAUAUCAAGGUUUUUGGGUUAUCCCAUUUCCCCCUGUCUCUUAACUCCUCCUCUGUGUCACUUCCAUCCUCUACCAGGCCCCUGCAUGCUAGAUGCAAGGUAGCAAGUUUUUAUAUAUAUACUUUUCAAAUUUAUACAUUUCAUUAAUUUUACAGACAUUUUAACAUUUCAGAGUUUGACUUUCUUCCCCCUCUUUCUGCAGUUCCUUAAAUUGGUUUUUUAAAUAUCUUCUGCAUAUCCAAAUUCACUUAAUUUGCUCAAUUAAUUAUCUGCUUUAAAUCUAGGUAAAGGUAAAGGACCCCUGGAUGGUUAAAUCCAGUCAAAAGUGACUAUGGGGUUGCGGCGAACAUCUCGCUUUCAGGCUGAGGGAGCCGGCGUUUGUCCACAGACAGCUUUCCGGGUCAUGUGGCCAGCAUGACUGAACCACUUUUGGGGCAAUGGAACACUGUGAUGGAAACCAGAGCGCACAGAAACAGUGUUUACCUUCUCGUCACAGCAGUACCUAUUUAUCUACUGGCACUGGCAUGCUUUUGAACUGCUAGGUUGGCAGGAGCUGGGACAGAGCAGCAGGAGCUCACCUCGUUGUGGGGAUUUGAACUGACAACCUUCUGAUCAGCAAGCCUAAGAAGCUCAGUGGUUUAGACCACAGCGCCACCUGCGUCUUAAAUAUAUAGUCUUAUGAAACUGCAGGUUAUUACAAUAAUCCUGCCAAUGUUUUUAUCUGUUUGCAAUUUAUCUGUAAAUAUUCAAUAAACCAUUUCCAUUCUUUUA
Molecule: long non-coding RNA, 6113 nt
Filed under: Podarcis lilfordi (Lilford's wall lizard)
Lineage: Eukaryota; Metazoa; Chordata; Lepidosauria; Squamata; Lacertidae
Source: RNAcentral